Molecule: ribosomal RNA, 252 nt
Filed under: uncultured bacterium
Lineage: Bacteria
Description: partial 16S ribosomal RNA
Rfam family: Bacterial small subunit ribosomal RNA
Source: RNAcentral
UACGUAGGUCUCGAGCGUUGUCCGGAUUUAUUGGGCGUAAAGCGAGCGCAGGUGGUUUAUUAAGUCUGGUGUAAAAGGCAGUGGCUCAACCAUUGUAUGCAUUGGAAACUGGUAGACUUGAGUGCAGGAGAGGAGAGUGGAAUUCCAUGUGUAGCGGUGAAAUGCGUAGAUAUAUGGAGGAACACCGGUGGCGAAAGCGGCUCUCUGGCCUGUAACUGACGCUGAAGCACGAAAGCGUGGGGAUCGAACAGG